RNAcentral lists this small RNA (627 nucleotides) under Rattus norvegicus (Norway rat). RNAcentral describes it as "uncharacterized LOC102551137". Lineage: Eukaryota; Metazoa; Chordata; Mammalia; Rodentia; Muridae. The record is from RNAcentral.
UGUGUCUGGACCGAGUCCAGUUUCUGUUUCUUUGAACUUUUCCAAGUCGCAGAAAAAGCAAAGGGGGGCAAUUUCUGACAUAUCACAGCAUUCGAAGUCCCGAUGACCUCACCACCUCCACACUGAAACCGCUUUUGAUUUUCAAAGAGCCUUUCUUCUUUUUUCUUCCCCUCCCCUCUAUGGGAUGCAGAAGGAUGAAUUACAAAACAAAUCUUCUGGCUCCCUCUUCAAGAUGGAGAGAAUCAUUGACUCCUGUUAUGAAAGAGAUGCUCAGACGGGGUGUGGCCCCCAUGCCAGGCACCAAUGCUCACUGCAGUGGGAGCCAAAGCCCACCGGAUCUGCUGAAGGCUGUGGAGCAAAGAAUAACCAGACUCGCCCAGAAACGGGGCUCUAGAAAGCAGACCUACCAACUAGCACGGACUAGAGGAGAUCGCCAAGGGGAGGAGUACAACGGACCAGGAAUAGGAACUGAGCAUGCGCCAAGGAUGUGACGUCUGGGAGAAGGGAAGGAGCCUGCAGAGGUGGGCUGGGAAAAGACGCCAUGACGACUGAAAGGAAGUGGGAAGUGGAACUCUUGCACUUUCUUGCUCUUCCUUUUCUCAUGCCCUCUUUGUCCCUGUCCCUUCC